GAAUUCUUUCGGACUUUUGAAAGUGAUGGUGGUGGGGGAAGGAUUCGAACCUUCGAAGUCGAUGACGGCAGAUUUAGAGUCUGCUCCCUUUGGCCGCUCGGGA
This 103-nucleotide transfer RNA is filed under the name synthetic construct. The record is from RNAcentral.